AACCAGCACCUCAAGUGGUCAGGAUGAUUAUUGGGCCUAAAGCAUCCGUAGCCGGCUCUGUAAGUUUUCGGUUAAAUCUGUACGCUCAACGUAUAGGCUGCCGAAAAUACUGCAGAACUAGGGAGUGGGAGAGGUAGACGGUACUCGGUAGGAAGGGGUAAAAUCCUUUGAUCUAUUGAUGACCACCUGUGGCGAAGGCGGUCUACCAGAACACGUUCGACGGUGAGGGAUGAAAGCUGGGGGAGCAAACCGG
This 253-nucleotide ribosomal RNA is filed under the name uncultured archaeon. RNAcentral's name for it is "partial 16S ribosomal RNA". It matches the Rfam family "Archaeal small subunit ribosomal RNA", at positions 474 to 727 of the family's 1478-position model. The record is from RNAcentral.